AAAGAUAGAUGCUGCAGAUGACUGAGAACUAGGAGCAGAUACACCAAAGGUGGAUGUUGAAGCUGGCUGAGAAUUAGAGGCAGACUCGCCAAAGAUAAAUGCUGCAGAUGAAUGAGAACUAAGAGCAUUUACACCAAAUGUAGAUGUUGAAGCUGGUUGAGAAUGAGAGGCAGACACACCAAAGACAGAUACAGCAGAUGACUGAGAACUGGGAGCAGAUACACCAGAGAUGGAUGUUGCAGCUGGCAGAGAAUUAGAGGAAGACACGCUAAAGAUAGGUACUGCAGAUGAUUGAGAAAUAGGGGCAGAUACACCAAAGGUGGAUGUUGAAGAUGACUGAGAAUUAGAGGCAGACACAUCAAAGAUAGAUGCUGCAGAUGAUUGAGAACUAGGAGCAGAUACGCCAAAGGUGGAUGUUGCAGUUGGCUGAGAAGUAGUAGAUACACCAAAGGUGAAUGUCGCAGCUGACUGAGAAUUAGUAGCAGAUGCACCAAAGGUGGGUGCUGCAGCUUCUGCUUUUGCUGACUGAAAACCAUAAACAGAGCCUGUAUCAACGAUGGGUAUGGUUGUUUGAGAACUAGAAUUAAGAGCAUUGGCACCAAAAGAUAAUGAAGAACUCUGUCCAGAACCCAAAUUCGAGUCAAAA
RNAcentral lists this long non-coding RNA (646 nucleotides) under Zostera marina. RNAcentral describes it as "long non-coding RNA (ZMAR_LNC000344)". Lineage: Eukaryota; Viridiplantae; Streptophyta; Magnoliopsida; Alismatales; Zosteraceae. The record is from RNAcentral.